CCUACGGGUGGCAGCAGUCGAGAAUCAUUCACAAUGGGGGCAAGCCUGAUGGUGCGACGCCGCGUGGGGGAAUGAAGCUCUUCGGAUUGUAAAUCCCUGUCAUGUGGGAGCACAUUAAACAGUUAGUCCCACAUGAGCAAGAGACGGCUAACUAUGUGCAAGCGGCGGCGGUAAUACGUAGGUCUCAAGCGUUGUUCGGAAUCACUGGGCGUAACGCGUGCGUAGGCGGUUACGUAAGUCGUGUGUGAAAGCCGCCGGCUCAACCCGCGGACGGCAUAUGAGACUGCUAUACUAGAGUAAUGGAGGGGGAAUCGGAAUUCUCGGUGUAGCAGUGAAAUGCGUAGAUAUCGAGAGGAACACUCGUGGCGAAGGCGGGUGCCUGGACAGUAACUGACGCUGAGGCACGAAGGCGAGGGGAGCGAAAGGGAUUAGAUACCCUAGUAGUC
Molecule: ribosomal RNA, 446 nt
Filed under: uncultured bacterium
Lineage: Bacteria
Description: partial 16S ribosomal RNA
Rfam family: Bacterial small subunit ribosomal RNA
Source: RNAcentral